This 70-nucleotide transfer RNA is filed under the name Campeloma decisum. RNAcentral's name for it is "tRNA-Leu". It matches the Rfam family "tRNA". Rfam says of the family: Transfer RNA (tRNA) molecules are approximately 80 nucleotides in length. Their secondary structure includes four short double-helical elements and three loops (D, anti-codon, and T loops). Further hydrogen bonds mediate the characteristic L-shaped molecular structure. tRNAs have two regions of fundamental functional importance: the anti-codon, which is responsible for specific mRNA codon recognition, and the 3' end, to which the tRNAs corresponding amino acid is attached (by aminoacyl-tRNA synthetases). tRNAs cope with the degeneracy of the genetic code in two manners: having more than one tRNA (with a specific anti-codon) for a particular amino acid; and 'wobble' base-pairing, i.e. permitting non-standard base-pairing at the 3rd anti-codon position. Lineage: Eukaryota; Metazoa; Mollusca; Gastropoda; Architaenioglossa; Viviparidae. The record is from RNAcentral.
AUAGAAAUGGCAGAAAGUGCAUUAGGUUUAAGCCCUAAAUAUAAAGAUUAAAAUGUAUCUUUUUUUUAUA